UAACAGGGGAGCUUGUAAACAGGCUGAGAGGGAGUUGUGAACUCCGACCCUUCAACCUGAUGCGGAUAAUGCCGUCGUAGGAAGUUU
Molecule: non-coding RNA, 87 nt
Filed under: bovine gut metagenome
Description: TPP riboswitch (THI element)
Rfam family: TPP riboswitch aptamer (THI element)
About the family: Vitamin B(1) in its active form thiamin pyrophosphate (TPP) is an essential coenzyme that is synthesised by coupling of pyrimidine and thiazole moieties in bacteria.
Source: RNAcentral